RNAcentral lists this ribosomal RNA (521 nucleotides) under uncultured Arthrobacter sp. RNAcentral's name for it is "bacterial SSU rRNA". It matches the Rfam family "Bacterial small subunit ribosomal RNA", at positions 259 to 785 of the family's 1533-position model. Lineage: Bacteria; Bacillati; Actinomycetota; Actinomycetes; Micrococcales; Micrococcaceae. The record is from RNAcentral.
AAUGGCCUACCAAGGCGACGACGGGUAGCCGGCCUGAGAGGGUGACCGGCCACACUGGGACUGAGACACGGCCCAGACUCCUACGGGAGGCAGCAGUGGGGAAUAUUGCACAAUGGGCGAAAGCCUGAUGCAGCGACGCCGCGUGAGGGAUGACGGCCUUCGGGUUGUAAACCUCUUUCAGUAGGGAAGAAGCCCUCUUUGGGGGUGACGGUACUUGCAGAAGAAGCGCCGGCUAACUACGUGCCAGCAGCCGCGGUAAUACGUAGGGCGCAAGCGUUAUCCGGAAUUAUUGGGCGUAAAGAGCUCGUAGGCGGUUUGUCGCGUCUGCUGUGAAAGACCGGGGCUCAACUCCGGUUCUGCAGUGGGUACGGGCAGACUAGAGUGCAGUAGGGGAGACUGGAAUUCCUGGUGUAGCGGUGAAAUGCGCAGAUAUCAGGAGGAACACCGAUGGCGAAGGCAGGUCUCUGGGCUGUAACUGACGCUGAGGAGCGAAAGCAUGGGGAGCGAACAGGAUUAGAUAC